UACGUAGGAUGCAAGCGUUGUCCGGAUUUACUGGGCGUAAAGCGCGCGCAGGCGGCACUCUAAGUACGUCGUGAAAUAUCCCGGCUCAACCGGGAGGGUGCGAUGUAGACUAGGGAGCUAGAGGUCGGUAGAGGGGGGUGGAAUUGCUGGUGUAGCGGUGAAAUGCGUAGAGAUCAGCAGGAACACCCGUGGCGAAGGCGGCCCCCUGG
RNAcentral lists this ribosomal RNA (209 nucleotides) under uncultured bacterium. RNAcentral's name for it is "partial 16S ribosomal RNA". It matches the Rfam family "Bacterial small subunit ribosomal RNA", at positions 524 to 732 of the family's 1533-position model. The record is from RNAcentral.